RNAcentral lists this ribosomal RNA (682 nucleotides) under Corynebacterium sp. HMSC073B01. Its description in RNAcentral is "bacterial LSU rRNA". It matches the Rfam family "Bacterial large subunit ribosomal RNA", at positions 1888 to 2571 of the family's 2925-position model. Lineage: Bacteria; Bacillati; Actinomycetota; Actinomycetes; Mycobacteriales; Corynebacteriaceae. The record is from RNAcentral.
CCUUUGCGGUCGAAGCGGAGAAUUUAAGCCCCAGUAAACGGCGGUGGUAACUAUAACCAUCCUAAGGUAGCGAAAUUCCUUGUCGGGUAAGUUCCGACCUGCACGAAUGGCGUAACGACUUCCCUGCUGUCUCAACCACAGACCCGGCGAAAUUGCAGUACGAGUAAAGAUGCUCGUUACGCGCGGCAGGACGAAAAGACCCCGGGACCUUCACUAUAGCUUGGUAUUGGUGUUCGGUUCGGUUUGUGUAGGAUAGGUGGGAGACUGUGAUGCCUCAACGCCAGUUGGGGUGGAGUCGUUGUUGAAAUACCACUCUGAUUGUAUUGGACAUCUCAACCUCGGCCCGUGAUCCGGGUUAGGGACAGUGCCUGGUGGGUAGUUUAACUGGGGCGGUUGCCUCCCAAAGAGUAACGGAGGCGCCCAAAGGUUCCCUCAGCCUGGUUGGCAAUCAGGUGUUGAGUGUAAGUGCACAAGGGAGCUUGACUGUGAGACUGACAGGUCGAGCAGGUAGGAAACUAGGGACUAGUGAUCCGGCACCGGCUUGUGGAAGCGGUGUCGCUCAACGGAUAAAAGGUACCCCGGGGAUAACAGGCUGAUCUUCCCCAAGAGUCCAUAUCGACGGGAUGGUUUGGCACCUCGAUGUCGGCUCGUCGCAUCCUGGGGCUGGAGUAGGUCCCAAGGG